CCUACGGGGGGCAGCAGUGGGGAAUAUUGGACAAUGGGCGAAAGUCUGAUCCAGCCAUGCCGCGUGUGUGAAGAAGGCCUUCGGGUUGUAAAGCACUUUCAGUGGGGAAGAAAGCCUUGGGGCUAAUACCCUCGAGGAAGGACAUCACCCAUAGAAGAAGCACCGGCUAACUCCGUGCCAGCAGCCGCGGUAAUACGGAGGGUGCGAGCGUUAAUCGGAAUUACUGGGCGUAAAGCGCGCGUAGGCGGUCUGAUAAGCCGGUUGUGAGAGCCCCGGGCUCAACCUGGGAACGGCAUCCGGAACUGUCAGGCUAGAGUGCAGGAGAGGAAGGUAGAAUUCCCGGUGUAGCGGUGAAAUGCGUAGAGAUCGGGAGGAAUACCAGUGGCGAAGGCGGCCUUCUGGACUGACACUGACGCUGAGGUGCGAAAGCGUGGGUAGCAAACAGGAUUAGAUACCCCGGUAGUC
Molecule: ribosomal RNA, 465 nt
Filed under: Vreelandella stevensii
Lineage: Bacteria; Pseudomonadati; Pseudomonadota; Gammaproteobacteria; Oceanospirillales; Halomonadaceae
Description: partial 16S ribosomal RNA
Rfam family: Bacterial small subunit ribosomal RNA
Source: RNAcentral